Molecule: ribosomal RNA, 400 nt
Filed under: uncultured bacterium
Lineage: Bacteria
Description: bacterial SSU rRNA
Rfam family: Bacterial small subunit ribosomal RNA
Source: RNAcentral
UGGGGAAUCUUGCACAAUGGGCGAAAGCCUGAUGCAGCGACGCCGCGUGGGGGAUGAAGCAUCUCGGUGUGUAAACCCCUUUCGACCCGGACGAAAGCCUCGCAAGAGGACUGACGGUACGGGUAUAAGAAGCCCCGGCUAACUACGUGCCAGCAGCCGCGGUAAGACGUAGGGGGCCAGCGUUGCUCGGAAUUACUGGGUGUAAAGGGUUCGUAGGCGGUGCGGCAAGUUGGGAGUGAAAUCUCUGGGCUCAACCCAGAGGCUGCUUCCAAAACUGCCGUGCUCGAGUGUGGGAGAGGCGCGUGGAAUUGCAGGUGUAGCGGUGAAAUGCGUAGAUAUCUGCAGGAACACCCGUGGCGAAAGCGGCGCGCUGGACCACUACUGACGCUGAGGAACGAAA